GGUUAUACUUUUCUUAAAAAUAUAUAAUCAUACAGAAAAUAUACUAAGUAAUACAAUUAAUAAAGAACAAAUGUAUCCAAUGAUUAUUUUAUUAGGUGUAUAAAAUAACGUCCUAACUGAGAUGUAAAUCUAAUUUAAAAUAACUAUGCACAUGUGUAUGAGGACGCCCCACACGACGCAACACUGAAGUGGCACACACAGUUGCUGUCUCU
Long non-coding RNA from Cydia splendana, 212 nucleotides. RefSeq lists it as uncharacterized. The transcript has 2 exons. The record is from RefSeq and is a predicted model, not a curated record. Lineage: Eukaryota; Metazoa; Arthropoda; Insecta; Lepidoptera; Tortricidae.